This 356-nucleotide unclassified non-coding RNA is filed under the name Hevea brasiliensis (rubber tree). Lineage: Eukaryota; Viridiplantae; Streptophyta; Magnoliopsida; Malpighiales; Euphorbiaceae. The record is from RNAcentral.
GUGAGAAUGUUUAUGGAACAGUGCAAUAUUUGUGAUUACACAUGCACCUAUAUGAUAUAGGGUAGGUCUCUACUGCCUUAGCAAGAGAGGCACAUACUGAGCUAACUAUUACUAAUCCGCAAAGCGUACAUGAUCCACAAGCAUGCAAGCAGUCUGGCAACCUUGACCCUGCGAUUUGAAGUGGAACUUCCCUUCCUUGCUUCUUUAUUUUCUUCUCCUCCACCUCCUCCUCUGCGUUUGAGGUUGGUGUCCCCAUGGUGCCUCUACUCUCUCCUGUUCUUGGCCAGGCAGGAUGUUACUCCUGAUCACCAUUAGCAUUACUUGUAAAUUGUAACAGUCUUAAUUUAUAAAAGAGA